GGCGUCUAAUACUGGAUACGAGACGUGGCCGCAUGGUCAACGUUUGGAAAGAUUUUUUGGUUCAGGAUGGGCUCGCGGCCUAUCAGCUUGUUGGUGAGGUAAUGGCUCACCAAGGCGUCGACGGGUAGCCGGCCUGAGAGGGUGACCGGCCACACUGGGACUGAGACACGGCCCAGACUCCUACGGGAGGCAGCAGUGGGGAAUAUUGCACAAUGGGCGAAAGCCUGAUGCAGCAACGCCGCGUGAGGGAUGACGGCCUUCGGGUUGUAAACCUCUUUUAGCAAGGAAGAAGCGAAAGUGACGGUACUUGCAGUUAAUGCGCCGGCUAACUACGUGCCAGCAGCCGCGGUAAUACGUAGGGCGCAAGCGUUAUCCGGAAUUAUUGGGCGUAAAGAGCUCGUAGGCGGUUUGUCGCGUCUGCUGUGAAAACUGGAGGCUCAACCUCCAGCCUGCAGUGGGUACGGGCAGACUAGAGUGCGGUAGGGGAGAUUGGAAUUCCUGGUGUAGCGGUGGAAUGCGCAGAUAUCAGGAGGAACACCGAUGGCGAAGGCAGAUCUCUGGGCCGUAACUGACGCUGAGGAGCGAAAGGGUGGGGAGCAAACAGGCUUAGAUACCCUGGUAGUCCACCCCGUAAACGUUGGGAACUAGUUGUGGGGACCAUUCCACGGUUUCCGUGACGCAGCUAACGCAUUAAGUUCCCCGCCUGGGGAGUACGGCCGCAAGGCUAAAACUCAAAGGAAUUGACGGGGACCCGCACAAGCGGCGGAGCAUGCGGAUUAAUUCGAUGCAACGCGAAGAACCUUACCAAGGCUUGACAUAUACGAGAACGCUGCAGAAAUGUAGAACUCUUUGGACACUCGUAUACAAAAAAAUACAUGGUUGUCGUCAGCUCGUGUCGUGAGAUGUUGGGUUAAGUCCCGCAACGAGCGCAACCCUCGUUCUAUGUUGCCAGCACGUAAUGGUGGGAACUCAUGGGAUACUGCCGGGGUCAACUCGGAGGAAGGUGGGGAUGACGUCAAAUCAUCAUGCCCCUUAUGUCUUGGGCUUCACGCAUGCUACAAUGGCCGGUACAAAGGGCUGCAAUACCGUGAGGUGGAGCGAAUCCCAAAAAGCCGGUCCCAGUUCGGAUUGAGGUCUGCAACUCGACCUCAUGAAGUCGGAGUCGCUAGUAAUCGCAGAUC
This 1181-nucleotide ribosomal RNA is filed under the name Microbacterium sp. RNAcentral describes it as "bacterial SSU rRNA". It matches the Rfam family "Bacterial small subunit ribosomal RNA", at positions 158 to 1350 of the family's 1533-position model. The record is from RNAcentral. Lineage: Bacteria; Bacillati; Actinomycetota; Actinomycetes; Micrococcales; Microbacteriaceae.